UGGGGAAUCUUAGACAAUGGGCGCAAGCCUGAUCUAGCCAUGCCGCGUGAGUGAUGAAGGCCCUAGGGUCGUAAAGCUCUUUCAACUGUGAAGAUAAUGACGGUAGCAGUAGAAGAAACCCCGGCUAACUCC
This 132-nucleotide ribosomal RNA is filed under the name uncultured Alphaproteobacteria bacterium. RNAcentral describes it as "partial 16S ribosomal RNA". It matches the Rfam family "Bacterial small subunit ribosomal RNA", at positions 355 to 504 of the family's 1533-position model. Lineage: Bacteria; Pseudomonadati; Pseudomonadota; Alphaproteobacteria. The record is from RNAcentral.